GUAACAGUGAUGUUAUGGAUGGAGGAAGUGGCUAGCGAGUUUUCCUAGCCUACGUACAGAAACCUGGUUAGGCCAAAUGGCGGAUAAGGCUGCGAUACAAGUCGAAGUCCAACAGGCAAUCGCUCAAGUACUAAUGAGGAUCUAUGAUCCUCAC
Non-coding RNA from Lactobacillus crispatus ST1, 154 nucleotides. NCBI's taxonomy places the organism in Bacteria, Bacillati, Bacillota, Bacilli, Lactobacillales, Lactobacillaceae. The record is from Rfam.